RNAcentral lists this unclassified non-coding RNA (335 nucleotides) under soil metagenome. RNAcentral describes it as "partial contains 5.8S ribosomal RNA, internal transcribed spacer 2, and large subunit ribosomal RNA". The stretch from base 1 to 120 matches the Rfam family "5.8S ribosomal RNA", at positions 35 to 154 of the family's 154-position model. The record is from RNAcentral.
GAUGAAGAACGUAGCGAAAUGCGAUAAGUAAUGUGAAUUGCAGAAUUCAGUGAAUCAUCGAAUCUUUGAACGCACAUUGCGCCCGCCAGUAUUCUGGCGGGCAUGCCUGUUCGAGCGUCAUUUCAACCAUCAAGCCCCCGGCUUGUGUUGGGGACCUGCGGCUGCCGCAGGCCCUGAAAACCAGUGGCGGGCUCGCUAGUCACUCCGAGCGUAGUAAUACAUCUCGCUCAGGGCGUGCUGCGGGUUCCGGCCGUUAAAAAGCCUUAUUUACCCAAGGUUGACCUCGGAUCAGGUAGGAAGACCCGCUGAACUUAAGCAUAUCAAAAAGCGGAGGA